GCUGGGCGUGGUGGUGCAUGCCUGUAGUCCCAGAUACUUGGGAAGCUGAGGCAGGAGAAUUGCUUGAACCCAGGAGUUCGCUGCAGUGAGCUGAGAUACCGCCACUUCACUCCAGCCUGGGUAACAGAGCAAGACUCUGUGUCAA
Callithrix jacchus (white-tufted-ear marmoset) is the source of this 145-nucleotide unclassified non-coding RNA. It matches the Rfam family "Metazoan signal recognition particle RNA". Rfam says of the family: The signal recognition particle (SRP) is a universally conserved ribonucleoprotein. It is involved in the co-translational targeting of proteins to membranes. Lineage: Eukaryota; Metazoa; Chordata; Mammalia; Primates; Cebidae. The record is from Ensembl.